Small nuclear RNA from Molossus molossus (Pallas's mastiff bat), 107 nucleotides. NCBI's taxonomy places the organism in Eukaryota, Metazoa, Chordata, Mammalia, Chiroptera, Molossidae. The record is from RefSeq and is a predicted model, not a curated record.
GUGCUUGUUGCGGCGGCACGUACACCACCAUUGGAAUGACACAGAGAAGAUUAGCAUGGCCCCCGCAGAAGGAUGGCACCUAAACUCGUGAAGCAAAAAUGUAUAUA